This 484-nucleotide ribosomal RNA is filed under the name uncultured bacterium. Its description in RNAcentral is "partial 16S ribosomal RNA". It matches the Rfam family "Bacterial small subunit ribosomal RNA", at positions 30 to 507 of the family's 1533-position model. The record is from RNAcentral.
AUUGAACGCUGGCGGCAGGCCUAACACAUGCAAGUCGAGCGGAUGAAGGGUGCUUGCUCCUGGAUUCAGCGGCGGACGGGUGAGUAAUGCCUAGGAAUCUGCCUGGUAGUGGGGUAUAACGUCCGGAAACGGGCGCUAAUACCGCAUACGUCCUGAGGGAGAAAGUGUGGGAUCUUCGGACCUCACGCUAUCAGAUGAGCCUAGGUCGGAUUAGCUAGUUGGUGGGGUAAAGGCCUACCAAGGCGACGAUCCGUAACUGGUCUGAGAGGAUGAUCAGUCACACUGGAACUGAGACACGGUCCAGACUCCUACGGGAGGCAGCAGUGGGGAAUAUUGGACAAUGGGCGAAAGCCUGAUCCAGCCAUGCCGCGUGUGUGAAGAAGGUCUUCGGAUUGUAAAGCACUUUAAGUUGGGAGGAAGGGCAGUAAGUUAAUACCUUGCUGUUUUGACGUUACCAACAGAAUAAGCACCGGCUAACUUCGUG